AUUGAACGCUGGCGGAAUGCUUUACACAUGCAAGUCGAACGGCAGCACGGACUUCGGUCUGGUGGCGAGUGGCGAACGGGUGAGUAAUGUAUCGGAACGUGCCCAGUCGUGGGGGAUAACGUAGUGAAAAUUACGCUAAUACCGCAUACGGUCUAAGGAUGAAAGCGGGGGAUCGCAAGACCCUGCGCGAUUGGAGCGGCCGAUAUCAGAUUAGGUAGUUGGUGGGGUAAAGGCCCACCAAGCCAACGAUCUGUAGCUGGUCUGAGCGGACGACCAGCCACCCUGGAACUGAGACACGGUCCACACGCCUACGGGAGGCAGCAGUGGGCAAUUUUGGACAAUGGGCGAAAGCCGGAUCCAGCCAUUCCGCGUGCAGGAUGAAGGCCCUCGGGUUUUAAACUGCUUUUGUACAGAACGAAAAGGUUUCUACUAAUACUAGGAGCUCAUGACGGUACUGUAAGAAUAAGCACCGGCUAACUACGUGCCAGCAGCCGCAGUAA
This 500-nucleotide ribosomal RNA is filed under the name uncultured bacterium. RNAcentral describes it as "partial 16S ribosomal RNA". It matches the Rfam family "Bacterial small subunit ribosomal RNA", at positions 30 to 523 of the family's 1533-position model. The record is from RNAcentral.